This 73-nucleotide transfer RNA is filed under the name Datura stramonium (jimsonweed). RNAcentral's name for it is "tRNA-Gln". It matches the Rfam family "tRNA". Rfam says of the family: Transfer RNA (tRNA) molecules are approximately 80 nucleotides in length. Their secondary structure includes four short double-helical elements and three loops (D, anti-codon, and T loops). The record is from RNAcentral. Lineage: Eukaryota; Viridiplantae; Streptophyta; Magnoliopsida; Solanales; Solanaceae.
GCCCGUCUAGCUCAGUUGGUAGAGCGCAAGGCUCUGAUCCUUGUGGUCGUGGGUUCGAGCCCCACGGUGGGCG